Molecule: long non-coding RNA, 318 nt
Filed under: Homo sapiens (human)
Lineage: Eukaryota; Metazoa; Chordata; Mammalia; Primates; Hominidae
Description: HSALNT0029801
Source: RNAcentral
AUAAGACUAAAUCCUUGACCUUGAUGUAGGCUUGCAAGACUAAGACCUUAAUGGAGGUGGGAUGCUAGGGAAGCAGCUUCAUUGCCUUGGGAUUUAUGCUCUGAGAAGAGUGAAUAUCCAGACGUGAACCCUUGAGUGAUGCCAUGUUUCAGUCUGCAGCUUAUUAGACAAGAUCUAAGAGGGUGCAAAAAUUACACCUCUGAUGUGAACUUCAGAGAUCAAAGCAGAUCAUCUCAACCAGAUUAUGUAGACGUUUAGAUGUUCUUUGUUUUUUUUAACCCAUGAACAGUUAAUAAAAUCAACUGUUAGUGUUCUAAG